GGACAGGUGGCCGAGUGGUUUAAGGCACCGGUCUUGAAAACCGGCGUGGGUGCAAGCUCACCGUGGGUUCGAAUCCCACCCUGUCCGCCA
RNAcentral lists this transfer RNA (90 nucleotides) under Caenibius tardaugens NBRC 16725. Its description in RNAcentral is "Novosphingobium tardaugens NBRC 16725 tRNA-Ser". It matches the Rfam family "tRNA". From Rfam's summary of the family: Transfer RNA (tRNA) molecules are approximately 80 nucleotides in length. RNAcentral also lists the same sequence under 5 other names. Lineage: Bacteria; Pseudomonadati; Pseudomonadota; Alphaproteobacteria; Sphingomonadales; Erythrobacteraceae. The record is from RNAcentral.